UUGGRGGGCAAGUCUGGUGCCAGCAGCCGCGGUAAUUCCAGCUCCAAUAGCGUAUAUUAAAGUUGUUGCAGUUAAAAAGCUCGUAGUUGAAUUUCGGGGUUAGUAGGUUGGUCAUGCCUCUGGUAUGUACUGGUCUUACUGAUUCCUCCUUCCUGAUGAACCUUAAUGCCAUUAAUUUGGUGUUUUGGGGAAUUUGGACUGUUACUUUGAAAAAAUUAGAGUGUUUAAAGCAAGCUAACGCUUGAAUACAUUAGCAUGGAAUAAUGGAAUAGGACGUUCGAUCCUAUUUUGUUGGUUUCUAGGAUUGACGUAAUGAUUAAUAGGGAUAGUUGGGGGCAUUAGUAUUCAAUUGUCAGAGGUGAAAUUCUUGGAUUUAUUGAAGACUAACUACUGCGAAAGCAUUUGCCAAGGAUGUUUUCAUUAAUCAAGAACGAAAGUUAGGGGAUCGAAGACGAUCAGAUACCGUCGUAGUCUUAACCAUAAACUAUGCCGACUAGGAAUCAGACGAUGUUAAUUUUUUAAUGACUCGUUUGGCACCUUACGGGAAACCAAAGUGUUUGGGUUC
Molecule: ribosomal RNA, 565 nt
Filed under: uncultured Glomeromycotina
Lineage: Eukaryota; Fungi; Glomeromycota
Description: SSU rRNA
Rfam family: Eukaryotic small subunit ribosomal RNA
Source: RNAcentral